GCAGCCGCAGCCCCUGGCGCUAACGGUCGGUAACGGCCCGCGCGCGCCGCCCGCCGGGGGCUCGCGCCAGCCACGAGGGAGCGUCCGCGGCCCGCGCGCCCGCGCGGCGGAGGAGAGGUGUUAAGUGUGAUGCUUCCAUAAUACAUUUGGAUGCUGUCAGCUAAGUUCACUUCUGAACUAAGGGGUUCCUCCAAAUGUUGGCUGAAAUUCAUCCCAAGGCUGGUCUGCAAAGUCUGCAAUUCAUAAUGGAGCUACUGUACUGGCUAUUGGAAGGAGGAGAUUCUGAAGAUAAGGAGGUAAUAUUAUCUCUUUUAAAAGAAUACUUUCCUCUGUAAUCCUGAAUCUUUAUUACAUGUAAGAACUUUGUGCAGUAGACAGCAAUUUCUUUGAAUUUGGUAUAUGGAAACAAUUUUAUUUUCCUCUGCUAAGUUUUUGAGCCUGCCUCUUCUAGUGCCAUGGACUGCAUUGGUAGAGCUGAGAAAUAUCAUUUAGCCAUACUCAGCACCCUUAAAAUAGCUUCUUUCUGAGAAUUAGAUCUGUGAAGGUGUCCUGCACAGUUCUUGUAGAUGUCAUUUUAGUUUGUGGUUGACGUGCAUGCAUUUAGCAUGUUGCUUAACCGUCCUCAUUCGCCUCCCAGUUCUUUGUUGCCUUCAUUUGGGGGGAUGUGUUUUCUGCUGGAUGAUUUACUGCUAGACAUGACCAAACUCUGAGUAUAAGACUUGGUGUUUGGCAGCUGGUUCCAGUGCUCUGCUGAGAAGUAGUUGGGCCCAGCCUGGGGCAUUGUAGUGUCCUGGAGGCCGGGAGCUCCUGCACAGGGGUUCUUUUCCUGGUUCAGAGCCUUAGGUGCCUUUCCACUUUUCACGUAAUCUUUUCCUAGGUUGGCUUGCUGCUUACUUUGCAGCUGUUGCAGGGAUUCACAUGGAAUGGAGGGCUCCCUUUUAUUGUGGAUUAUUUCUUUGAUAAUUUACCCAUGUGCUUUUUCAUUUUCAAAAACCCAGUGGUGUUUAAGAAUGAAAGAUUCUUGAAGAACAAAAAUUGGGUUAAAUUUGUAUCUAUCAGAAAAGAUUCUAUCCUCUGAUGCUAUGUAGGCACAUUGAAUAUGCAGGCUAAAUUAAAAACAGAGUAAAACCUUUUUAUAAUAUGCCAAUUACUAUAUCUAAGAAUGUUUAUACAGGCUGAAAUUUUGUAAUGGUAUUUAUAUCUGUUUUCCUUUUUAAGGAAAAUAAUAUACUUUUCUAGGCAUCAAAAAUAUCUGCCCCUUUCACUAAUGCUGAUGUACCACCUUCCCCCAACCCCCAACGCUAAAUUUGACUGGCUUAAAAACAUCUGCCCCCUGAACUAUAUCUGGGGAGGAAUAUUAAUAAAACAAUGAAGGACUUCAUGGUGUCUAGUUAUAUAAUUAGGAAAUUGGUUAGAAACGUGGCUAAAACCAGUUUCUUUCAUUAAAAGAACUAGUGUACAUUUAAAAACAAAAACCUUCAGGAAAAAGACUCUUUGAUCUUUAAGUCAAAUAGUAUUUUUGGUUAACACAGCAGGAAGGGGAAAUAUACCAAUUUCAGAUUCUUUUAUUUAUGCCUAAGUAGAGGUUGUAAGCAGCUAAGGAAGUGAUUAAAAUGUAGUCUAGUAAAAAAUGGUGCUGAUUACUUGGAAAGCAGUUUACAUUUGCAAAAAAAUUCAGUAUUAUGACCUUCACCAACUUUUACACAUCAUAUACUUGGGUUAUUACUUAUGGUAUAGCUUGUGUAUGGAAUGCAAGGGUAUUUUCAAAUUGACUAGGUCUUGCUGGUCAUCUUAAAAUAUGUUACAAUAUUACAAAAUUGAAAUGUAAUAUUUUUUAAUAGAAGGAAAAUAUAAAUUUAAUAUCUGGGCAAUUGAGACCUUUAAACUUACUUUAAAAGUAUGAUCUUGAUGUAUAUGAUACUGUUUUGUCUUUGCUAUAUUAACAGAAUUAGAGGGGUGUUCUGCAAUUCAAAUACCUUAUAUAUUCCAAAUUUUAUUCUCUAUAAUGGACUUUUAAAAUAAAAGGUAUAUGUGCUUCAAGAGGGCAAAAUUUGAAUCAUGAGCUAAUUUGCUAAGCAUCAGAUUAUAGAAAAGCAUCCUUGAUUAAUUUGGAACUGUGAAAGGGGGCGGGUAAAACUGUUUUCUGCAGAAAUUUACUAGUGCAGCAACCAUUUAAAUUAAAUGUUUGUUAACAUAAUAGUGAUGGCAUUUUCUCCUCCCCCUCCUUGUGGUUUUGUCCAACUAGAUGUUACAGUGGCAGUUGCACUGACUGUUAAGUGUUUAAAUGAUGACACCAUUAUGUGAAGUGAUUUUGAAAUGAGAGAUUCCAGCCAAGAAUUACAUCUGCUCCCAUCUCCUUCAAAUCAUACUCUCUGGCAGUACAGAUUAUGAUUGAUUUGUUUGUGACAGAUUGCAGGAAACAGUCAUUGAUUUUUCAAUAUUUUACCUUAAAAUUAUUUACAGUUGUAACCAUGGGGAGGUAUUUUCAUGGGCUGUCAGCCCCUGAAAGACUAGGAUAAUAUUCCCUGCUCUCUGACAAGACAAAUUACCUGUAAUGAGUGCAGUAGCUGAAGGGUAUACUUUUAUUUUAAAAUAUGUCAAUAACCCCAGUGACUAAACGAAUAUUGAUUUAGCAUAAUGAAGCCUGAGUAACGUGAAAAUGAGCUUUUUCAAGGGGCAUGGUAAAGUCUUUCUUUUUAGCUGGUUGUAAGAAGCUUUUGAUUCUUUUCAGCCAGCUGGUAGGAAUAUAGAAUUUUAUAAGCAAACCAUCAGGAAUGAUAGUGUUGUUUCUGAUAAGCAACAUCCAAAUAUUUUGACCCUGCUUUUAGUGGUUUUUUUCAAAUCUUAUUUUGAGUCUUACUUUUAGUCAUAGAAUAGCUACUGAUUUGAUGCGGUCUUUAACUGACUUAAUAUUUUUACAAUUUCAAUAUAUUUUGCAUUGGAAUCUCCAGUAAUGAAUAUUAAAAUAUAUGUACAAUCAUUUGUAGAUGAUAUCAAUUAUAUUAAGACAUUUCAGAUGGGCUAUUGUAGUAUUUAAUGUGCCGUAUUUUAUGGUAGAAUAAUUCUCAGUCUCUGGACAUCAAGAUUGCUUUCAGUGGGAAUGAAGAUUAAUUUACUUCAGUCCUGAUUUUUUAGGCAUCAAUGCAUGUUUUCAUUUUUGUCAGACUUUUACCCUCUUUUAAUGUAAUUCUCAACUUCUUAUGGAUUUACUUCCCAAUACAUAAAAUCCUUCAAAACAAGAAUGAUAAUAAUUUUUAUACUUUUUAUAAAAAUAAAUUUAUUUUUAGUCCAUCAAGGUGUCUGAAGAUUUUAUGCCUAGGUAUCUCCAUAUCUAACUUGAUAAGGAAAAUAGGAUAAACAAUGCUGGUAAUAGCAGGAAAGUAAGUAUUUGAAUAAGAUGUCAAACUGAUAUUUCAUGUGAACCUAACUCAUUUUAUGGUAACUAAUAAUUAUCUUAUUUAAAUCAAUAGGUAAAACCUGUUUAGAAAUUAAAAAUGAGUUACGAUUUAAAGAAAAUUCAGAUGACUCAUUGUGAGUGCUAGUUCUCUUGUAGGAUGCCACUGGAAAUGUUGAAAUGAAAAAUAUUCAGCCGUUGGUCUUUGAAAUUUCCUGUGAUGUGUUUCAAUCUAGAUGCAAAGAACAUGGAAAAAUCAAAGUGCUCGAGUGGUUUAAAUAUGUUUUGGGUAUUCCUGUUUAUAGACUAUAAUACUUUUCCAAUUAAAAUCCUCAGUUGUCACGCAGAAGAAGGUUAAGCUGUAUUUGAUUGCCAGUUUUACUGAAAAUGCUUAGUAUUUUACAGUAUCACCAAAUAUAUUUUGUUUAGCCAAGGUAUAGGAAAAAUAAAAUAAAUUGUAUAGGUUGACUUUUUUCUAAAAUGUCUUUAUUGGAUUGAAUGAAUGUUUAUACCUGAAAAAAAAAGGUUCAAAAAAAUUCCUUUUUCUAUCAGAGUCAUUCUUUUGACAAUCAGAUAUUAGACUAGGUUUAAAAUAACUUUCUAAUAUGACUCAUAUUUAUGGGAGGAAAAAGACUUGAAAGAUAUUCCUAUGUGUACUUUAAUUUUCUGUAAUAGUCCCUCUGGAAUAGAAUAUCUCUUCCUCAAACAAAUCUAUUGGCUCAUUUCAUAUACAAGAAAAAGUUGCCCUAAAUGGCAGAGUUUCAUCUCUGUAAAGAAGGCUGACAUCCACUUCCUUCACAGAAUCCCUGCAUUUGGGUAAUUGAGUAAUGAUAGAUUACCUUGCCAUUGGGAAAUACCUUGUUGUGGCCUUUGUAGCAGCUAUAGGAAGAUGGAAGAAUUCUUUUGUAUAGACAGGUCUCUAGCCUCUUUGGUGUGGACACUGUGAAGGGGUACAUCUGGUGAGAAGGAGUGCUUAGGGAAGGAACUGGGAAGGUCCACAAAGGCUGAUGAUGACAAAGAAUCCAAGGGCUAUGAUGAAUUCUUAAGCUUAGAUCUCAGAGUCAUAAAGUAAAUUUAUUAGGCUAGAGAGAUUUCCUUUUUUAUUUUUGAUCAAACUUUAUUUUUUCAGAUUGUUAAGUUCACAUGCAGUUGUACAAAAUAAUACAGAGAUCUUUGAACACUACCCAGUUUCUCCUAAUAGUAACUUCUUGCAAUAUACUGUAUAGCACAGCAUCACAACCUGGAUACUGACAUUGAUGCAGUCAAGACAGAGAACAUUUAUAUCAUGAGGAGGAUCCCUCAUUACCGCCCUUUGAUAUCCACCCCUACUUCCAGACCAUCUCACUCCUCCCUUAACCCUGGCAACCACUAGCAUGUUCUCCAUUUCUAUAAAUUUGCCUUUAUAGGAAUGUUAUAUAAUUGCAAUUAAAGUGUGUAACCUUUUGGGGUUUGACUCACCCGGCAUCAUUUUCUGGAGAUUCAGCUUAUAUGUGUCAAUAGUUUGUUCCCUUUUUUUUAGUUCAGUAGUAUUCUGUGGUACGUGUGUACCACAUCACUCAUCAAUUCGGACUUCUGGGUUGUAUCUGGUAUUUGAUUAUUACAAAUAGAAGUACUAUAUAUAUAUUCGUGUAGAGGUUUCUGUGUGAACAUAAACUUUCAUUUUCCUGGGACAGAUGCCCACGAGUGAAAAUUGUGAGUCAUAUGGUAAUUAUGUAGAGUAUUUUUUUUUUGAGACGAUUUGUUUAUGAUUUUAAAACAUAAAAAUAUAAGUUGUAGCCAAAUAUAAGGAAGGAUUUUUCCACAAUCUAGACUUUAUUCUUAUUUUAGAGAAAUACUUUUGAAAAAAUUGCUUUAUUGGCAAACAAUUCCUAUGUAAAGGAAUAAAAGACGCAUAUACUCUAGGAAAGAUGUUGCAAAGCUGACAGGCAACUUUGAGAAAGAUGAGGGCAGUUUUCCAGUGUUACUGGAGACUUGACAUUCAAGGAUGUAUUAUGAUAGUUUCUGAAUUGAUAGAUUCUUUAGCGUUUGUCACUACCCUCAGGCCUGCAGUUUUUAUUUGUAGAAUUAACUCAUCUUUACAAUGCUUUGUUGAGUGCUGUUGCAGAAAAUGCUCAUGUAAUUCAAUUAUAUGCAGUUAGGAAAAAGAAGUAUCUUUUUCUAGUACAUGGCCCCUAAAAUGAUGACUUUCCACAAUGCUGAAUGGAGGAAACAGCUCUGUUUCCAUCAAACUCUGGUGGAAAUUAUACAAAGUUAUAUUAUGCUUUAUGAGACAUAGUGAGGUAGUACACAACCAUAUAUGCUAUAUUAUUGGGGAGACCCACUGAAAGAAUUUUCAAGGAUAAUUUUUGCUCUGAUUUUCUAUCAUGUAUAUUGACUUUAUUGAUUGAUUGAUUGAGAUGGAGUCUCACCCCGUCACCCAGGCUGAAGUGCAGUGGUGCAAUCUCUGCUCACUGCAACCUCCGCCUCUCAGGUUCAAGUGAUCCUCGUGCCUCAGCCUCCCGAGUAGCUGAGACUAUAGGUGUGUGCUACGAUGCCCAGCUAAUUUUUGUAUUUUUAGUAGAGACAGGAUUUGGUAGCCUGGUCUCGAACUCCUGACCUCAGGUGAUCUACCCACCUUGGCCUCCCAAAAUACUGGGAUUACAGGUGUGAGCCACCGUGCUGGCCAAGUAUAUUGACUUUAAAACGUUACCGGCUGGGCGUGGUGGUUCACGCCUGUUAUCCCAGCACUUUGGGAGCCCGAGGCGGAUGGAUUACCUGAAGUCAGGAGUUCGAGACCAGCCCAACCUGGUGAAACCCCGUCUCUACUAAAAAUACACAAAUUAGCCGGGCGUGGUGGCAGGCGCCUAUAAUCCCAACUACUGGGAAGGCUGAGGCAGGAGAAUUGCUUGAACCUGGCAGGCGGAGGCUGCAGUGAGCCAAGACUGCGCCACUGCACUCCAGCCUGGGCAACAAGAGCAAAACUCAGUCUCAAAAAAAACAGAAAAAAAAAGUUACCACGGGUGAAACAUUGGGCUGGUCACAGUGAUCCUUCUAACAGCAGUCAAUAUUAUAAAUCUAGCUUUUUUUUUUGAGUGAGAUACUAGGCCCAGGGAACCCGAGUCUUUCAAUCCUCAUGAAUAUAGUUUAAUCUUUAGCUCAUUAUGGUCAUGACCAUAGUUAAAUAAAUGACACGAGAUAAUAAAAUAGUCUUUGCCCUUAAAACUGACCUGGGU
Molecule: long non-coding RNA, 6606 nt
Filed under: Homo sapiens (human)
Lineage: Eukaryota; Metazoa; Chordata; Mammalia; Primates; Hominidae
Description: non-protein coding lnc-IRX3-80:24
Source: RNAcentral